RNAcentral lists this ribosomal RNA (274 nucleotides) under uncultured bacterium. RNAcentral describes it as "partial 16S ribosomal RNA". It matches the Rfam family "Bacterial small subunit ribosomal RNA", at positions 523 to 796 of the family's 1533-position model. The record is from RNAcentral.
AUACGGAGGGUGCAAGCGUUACUCGGAAUCACUGGGCGUAAAGCGCGCGCAGGCGGCCUGAUAAGUUGGAUGUGAAAGCCUACGGCUCAACCGUAGAACUGCAUCCAAAACUGUCAGGCUAGAGUGUGGGAGAGGAAGAUGGAAUUAGUUGUGUAGGGGUAAAAUCCGUAGAGAUAACUAGGAAUACCAAAAGCGAAGGCAAUCUUCUGGAACACUACUGACGCCGAGGCGCGAAGGCGUGGGGAGCAAACAGGAUUAGAUACCCCGGUAGUCC